Molecule: long non-coding RNA, 229 nt
Filed under: Capsicum annuum
Lineage: Eukaryota; Viridiplantae; Streptophyta; Magnoliopsida; Solanales; Solanaceae
Description: long non-coding RNA (CANN_LNC010551)
Source: RNAcentral
CCAAAUAUAAAUAAUUAUAAAUAACUCAACAUGGAUGAAACGAAAUGAAAUAAUCAUAAGCUUAACAUAAUACAUAAUGUCAUUAAUCAUUACAUAUAAUAUAACCUUGCAUAAAUAGUCUACAAAACAACACAAAACUCAUAAAAAUAGUCCAUGAAACAACAUACUUUCUGCAUAAAUAGUCCAUAAAAUAAUCCAAAGUCACCAAAAUAGUCCAUAAAAUAUUUGA